CGCCACUGACAUUGGGUGGAGAAACCUUGUUGGUGGUGGUGUUCUUAUAUCAGCCAUUGGCAGAGCACAUGGCAGUCCUUUGUUCAUCCUAGCUUGAUGCCUCAUUGGUGCCCAAAGCUGUUUUAUGCCCAGGACUCACAA
Acomys russatus (golden spiny mouse) is the source of this 141-nucleotide small nucleolar RNA. RefSeq annotates it as small nucleolar RNA SNORA48. The transcript has a single exon. The record is from RefSeq and is a predicted model, not a curated record. Lineage: Eukaryota; Metazoa; Chordata; Mammalia; Rodentia; Muridae.